This 511-nucleotide ribosomal RNA is filed under the name uncultured bacterium. Its description in RNAcentral is "bacterial SSU rRNA". It matches the Rfam family "Bacterial small subunit ribosomal RNA", at positions 9 to 518 of the family's 1533-position model. The record is from RNAcentral.
GAGUUUGAUCCUGGCUCAGGAUGAACGCUGGCGGCGUGCUUAACACAUGCAAGUCGAACGGGAAUGCCACGCUGAUGCGAUUUCGGUCAAAUCAUGUGGCAUUCGAGUGGCGGACGGGUGAGUAACGCGUGGGUAACCUGCCUUACACAGGGGGAUAACACCUGGAAACAGGUGCUAAUACCGCAUAAGCGCACAGGGCCGCAUGGCCCGGUGUGAAAAACUCCGGUGGUGUAAGAUGGACCCGCGUCUGAUUAGCUUGUUGGCGGGGUAGGGGCCCACCAAGGCGACGAUCAGUAGCCGGCCUGAGAGGGUGGACGGCCACAUUGGGACUGAGACACGGCCCAAACUCCUACGGGAGGCAGCAGUGGGGAAUAUUGCACAAUGGGGGAAACCCUGAUGCAGCGACGCCGCGUGAAGGAUGAAGUAUUUCGGUAUGUAAACUUCUAUCAGCAGGGAAGAAAAUGACGGUACCUGACUAAGAAGCCCCGGCUAACUACGUGCCAGCAGCCGC